This 478-nucleotide ribosomal RNA is filed under the name uncultured bacterium. RNAcentral describes it as "partial 16S ribosomal RNA". It matches the Rfam family "Bacterial small subunit ribosomal RNA", at positions 28 to 523 of the family's 1533-position model. The record is from RNAcentral.
GACGAACGCUGGCGGCGUGCUUAACACAUGCAAGUCGAACGGUAAGGCCCUUCGGGGUACACGAGUGGCGAACGGGUGAGUAACACGUGGGUGAUCUGCCCUGCACUUCGGGAUAAGCCUGGGAAACUGGGUCUAAUACCGGAUAGGACCACUGCCUGCAUGGGUGGUGGUGGAAAGCUCUUGCGGUGUGGGAUGGGCCCGCGGCCUAUCAGCGUGUUGGUGGGGUGAUGGCCUACCAAGGCGACGACGGGUAGCCGGCCUGAGAGGGUGACCGGGCACACUGGGGCUGAGGUACGGCCCAGACUCCUACGGGAGGCAGGAGUGGGGAAUAUUGGACAAUGGGCGCAAGCCUGAUGCAGCGACGCCGCGUGAGGGAUGACGGCCUUCGGGUUGUAAACCUCUUACAGCACCGACGAAGCGCAAGUGCCGGUAGGUGCAGAAGAAGGACCGGCCAACUACGUGCCAGCCGCCGCCGUAA